CUACUUAGCUGGCAGGGCUAAUACCAUGAUCAAGAAGGUGGUUUGCCCAAAGCAAGGCCCAGCCAUUUCACUCAGGCUGCACUGACCUUUGCGAAUUCCUCAAAUGUGGGAAUCUCGACUGCUUAAUUUCUGAUGGGGGGGGGGAGACUGCGUUCACGCUCUGCCCUUU
Small nuclear RNA from Neoarius graeffei (lesser salmon catfish), 169 nucleotides. RefSeq annotates it as U1 spliceosomal RNA. The record is from RefSeq and is a predicted model, not a curated record. Lineage: Eukaryota; Metazoa; Chordata; Actinopteri; Siluriformes; Ariidae. The transcript has a single exon.